GAUGAAGAACGCAGCGAAAUGCGAUAAGUAAUGUGAAUUGCAGAAUUCAGUGAAUCAUCGAAUCUUUGAACGCACAUUGCGCCCGCCAGUAUUCUGGCGGGCAUGCCUGUUCGAGCGUCAUUUCAACCAUCAAGCCCCAGGCUUGUGUUGGGGACCUGCGGCUGCCGCAGGCCCUGAAAACCAGUGGCGGGCUCGCUGUCACACCGGGCGUAGUAGAUUUUAUCUCGCUCAGGGCGUGCUGCGGGUUCCGGCCGUUAAAAAGCCUUUUUUACCCAAGGUUGACCUCGGAUCAGGUAGGAAGACCCGCUGAAUUUAAGCAUAUCAAUAAGCGGAGGA
This 336-nucleotide unclassified non-coding RNA is filed under the name soil metagenome. RNAcentral's name for it is "partial contains 5.8S ribosomal RNA, internal transcribed spacer 2, and large subunit ribosomal RNA". The stretch from base 1 to 120 matches the Rfam family "5.8S ribosomal RNA", at positions 35 to 154 of the family's 154-position model. The record is from RNAcentral.